AGUACGAGAGGACCGGAGUGGACGAACCUCUGGUGUUCCGGUUGUCACGCCAGUGGCAUUGCCGGGUAGCUAUGUUCGGAAGAGAUAACCGCUGAAAGCAUCUAAGCGGGAAACUCGUUUCAAGAUGAGAUCUGCCGGGGCCUUGAGCCCCCUGAAGAGUCGUUCAAGACCAGGACGUUGAUAGGCUGGGUGUGGAAGCGCAGUAAUGCGUUAAGCUAACCAGUACUAAUUGCUCGUGAGGCUU
This 244-nucleotide ribosomal RNA is filed under the name Platyophrya macrostoma. Its description in RNAcentral is "partial Bacterial large subunit ribosomal RNA". It matches the Rfam family "Bacterial large subunit ribosomal RNA", at positions 2680 to 2925 of the family's 2925-position model. The record is from RNAcentral. Lineage: Eukaryota; Ciliophora; Colpodea; Cyrtolophosidida; Platyophryidae.